UACGAAGGGGGCUAGCGUUGCUCGGAAUCACUGGGCGUAAAGGGCGCGUAGGCGGCCAUUCAAGUCGGGGGUGAAAGCCUGUGGCUCAACCACAGAAUUGCCUUCGAUACUGUUUGGCUUGAGACCGGAAGAGGUGAGUGGAACUGCGAGUGUAGAGGUGAAAUUCGUAGAUAUUCGCAAGAACACCAGUGGCGAAGGCGGCUCACUGGUCCGGUUCUGACGCUGAGGCGCGAAAAGCGUGGGGGAGCAAACAGG
Molecule: ribosomal RNA, 255 nt
Filed under: uncultured bacterium
Lineage: Bacteria
Description: partial 16S ribosomal RNA
Rfam family: Bacterial small subunit ribosomal RNA
Source: RNAcentral